RNAcentral lists this ribosomal RNA (253 nucleotides) under uncultured bacterium. RNAcentral describes it as "partial 16S ribosomal RNA". It matches the Rfam family "Bacterial small subunit ribosomal RNA", at positions 524 to 776 of the family's 1533-position model. The record is from RNAcentral.
UACGUAGGAUGCAAGCGUUGUUCGGAAUUACUGGGCGUAAAGCGUAUGUAGGCGGUUGUAUAAGUCUUUUAUUAAAGACCGAAGCUUAACUUCGGGAGUGUAAAGGAAACUGUAUAACUAGAGGUCAGAAGGGGAAAUCGGAAUUCUUAGUGUAGCGGUGAAAUGCGUAGAUAUUAGGAAGAACACCGGUGGCGAAAGCGGAUUUCUGGUCUGAAACUGACGCUGAGAUACGAAGGUGUGGGGAGCAAACAGG